Molecule: ribosomal RNA, 632 nt
Filed under: Neosarmatium meinerti
Lineage: Eukaryota; Metazoa; Arthropoda; Malacostraca; Decapoda; Sesarmidae
Description: partial 28S ribosomal RNA
Source: RNAcentral
GCCGCGACCCGUUGCUGGGGACGUCAAAGGCCCGGGCGGACUGGUACCCCGACGUCGUGCGUUCGCGCCGACGAAGGGGGAAACCCCCGGUGUCCUGGCUGCCCUGCGACGGUCGAGCAGCAGAGGGGGUAACACACCCCUCUCUCGCGGCGUGCAAAAGGUCGGUGACCCACCCGACCCGUCUUGAAACACGGACCAAGGAGUCUAACAUGUGUGCGAGUCAUUGGGCGCACUAAACCCAGAGGCGUAAUGAAAGUGAAAGGGGGGCGUCCCGGGGUCUUCGGGCCUCGGUCGGCGCCCUCCGGGGCCGAUCCCCGACCGCCUGUCGCCGCCUCCGUUUCCCAUACCAAAGCGAGGUCAAGGGGGUGUGUGCGCGGGGUGAGACCCUUUCCCCCGCGCCACCUCCGGCCUCGUGGGUUCGGGGCGCGCGCGACGGUCCGGCUCCUUCGCGGGAGUCGCCUGUACGCAGGGGGGCGCAGGCCCGGGACUUGCCAUUCGACGCCGUCGCGCAAAUCUGUUGUUGGCCUCGCCGGCUCUGCUUGGGCUCUCGGUUGGCGCGCCGCGCGUCAGGCGGGCUCUGGGUGGGGGCUUCGGCUCUCGCUCGGGUUCGUCCCGCGCGGUUUUGCCUUCCG